GGUCAAUUUUAAUGGAGUUUUGAAAUCUCUUGUGGGGAAAUUACCGUUGGCUG
Molecule: transfer RNA, 53 nt
Filed under: Aspiculuris sp. PC-2022
Lineage: Eukaryota; Metazoa; Nematoda; Chromadorea; Rhabditida; Heteroxynematidae
Description: tRNA-Ser
Source: RNAcentral